UCCUUAAUAGUUGUUAAAGACGAAGGAUAGAAUAGGACAAUAUUUUCGCAGCACUUUUUAUUUAUUUUUUGUUUGUUUUUACUUUUUUGUUUAUUUUAUCUUAUUUUAUUUUUCGUUUCUUUUUGUUUAGAAAAAAACAGAAAGAGUGAGAGAGAGAGAGAGAGAGAGAGAGAGAGAAGCGUUAACUUCGUUGAAACUAAUUAAAUCACGCCUCUCCCUUUUCUCGAUCGCUACGAUCUUGCUAAGGAGUCUCGAAAGGAGUCGCGAUUUAUUUAGAAACAAAUUACUUCUCUUUCGCCAACCUACCUAUCUGUGCAUCUGAUCGUUUCUUAAGUAAAAGGCACUGGGCGUGUUCGUUUUCAUCGUUUCCGAUAAUAUUUCAAGGAAAAUUAGAAGAGCCAAUUGGAGGACGGGAGCAAUUAACGUUUUAUUUGUUUGUCAUUGCAAGUAGCAAUAAAAUAAAAGAAUUUAGCAUUUGUCACUGGUAAUGGUUAUUUUUUUAUUCGAAAAAGAGAGAGAGAGAAAUAGAGAGAACAAAGUUUCCUCUAUUUGAAUUUUCACAAAUCGACGGAAAAUCUAGAUUUCUCGUAACGUGAUCCCGAGCGUAUCGACGUGCUAUCAAAAAAAAAAAGAAAAAAAAAAGAGAAAAGAGAAAAAAGAAAAGAAAAAAAAAUAAAAGAGAUAGAUAGAUAGAUAGAGAGAAAGAGAGAGAGAGAGAGAGAGAGAGAAGGGGAAGGGAGAGCGUUAGUAAUUAAAAGGUCGAAUGCAACGAUAAAAUUUGGCUGGCAAAAGUGUCUCGCACGGCGACAACAAUGUAUAAAAUGACAGAGCAAUUGUAUCCGUGUAUAUGUCUAUACAUACAUACAUACAUACAUACAUACAUAUGUGUAUAUAUAUACAUACACAUUAAUCUAUGUGUUUGCGUAUGUAUGUGUAUGUGUGGUUGGACGAAGGGUAUCGCCACGAAAUCGCACACGUUGAUCGAUUGACGUGACAACGUGCGUCCCUUUCGAAGGGGUAAAAGGGAGUAUGUCUGUUGCAGGGUGAUUCCAUGCAAAAGGGUUUGCCGUCGAAACGUUCCCGCUGUUACUGUGUUGCUGUUGUUGCUGCUGCUGCUGUUGCUGUUGCUGAUGCUGGUGCUGGUGCUGCCACCAGUUUCGACAAUACUCGAUGGAAAAGCUAGAGGAAGGGGAAGAGGAGGAGGAGGAGGAGGAGAAUCGGAGGAGGGAUUCUGUAUUUUACGUUCUGUAUUUUAUAGCGAGAUACCCUGUGGAUGAGGGCUUGCUAGUAGUAGGGGUAUAUACCCACUGGUGAUAAGGUGAUAAGCUCAAAUGUAUUGGCUCCCAUCAAAUCGCACGCUUUACUGUUAUAGGCAACCCCAUAACCGCCGAUCGUUUCCCCUGUUCCACUUCACCCCUCACCUUCUUCUCUUCCUCCUCUUCCUCCUCCUCCUCCUCCUCCUCCUCCUCCUCCUCCUCCUUCUUCUUCUUCUCCUCCUAUUCCUAUUCCUAUUCCUACUCAUCGUCUUUACUCUCUUCCGUUCUUCUCAAUGAACGUUGUAGUACUCUUUCGUUUUCCAAGGAAAGAAUAACAUUUCCUUCGGAAUGUUUCCGUGUUUCCUCAGCUAGCUAGGUCAUUCUAUUUUUAUUUUCUUUUUUUCUUUUCCUGUUUUUCUUCUCUUUUCUUCUCUUUUCUUCUCUUUUCUUUUCUUUUCGUUUCUUUUUUUUUUUUUCGUUAACAGUGAUUAAUAUGAAGGAAUCGUUGGUGCGAUAGGAUUUGUGUUAAUAACAAAAAUUGAGAACGUUUGGUUGUUCAGUUUGUUUAGCGAUAUCGUUUGUCAUAAAGAACGUUCUAUGCGUUUUGUUUGUCGCGUUAAAAAAAAAAAAAAAAAAAAGAAAAAAAAUUAAAAAAAGAAAAGUAAAUGAACAGAGAAACAAGGAAAUAUGUAUAUAUCUUACGGUAGGUCAGUGCGUUGUUUCUUCUUUUCUUUUUCCUUUUUUUUUUCUUUUUUUUUUGAAUGGUUCAACUAAACCAGGUCACCUAAAUUUCAACACUUUCAGCUAAGUUCAUAGUCCUAAUUCGAAUAUGCUUCUCUAUAAUAUUUUUUUAAAGCUUGUUUUUUUUUUAGAACGACAUAAAACGACGAUAACACACGACGACAUCAUCUUUUCAAAGAACCGUGUUCCUAUUCUAUGGGAAUGCUGCAUGUUUAAUUUAUAUCAUCUAAUGUUUGUUCCUAAUUUAUAUGCAAUGUUUGUUAAAGGUAUACAGUAGUUGUACACCGGGAGCUUACACUCUGAAACCUUGUUGAAAAUUAUCCCAAAACCGUUUCAACGAUGGCGUAGACGACGCAUGACUCUGAUUAUGAGACAACCUUCCAUAUGCGUGUGGGAAGUUUUAUUCUUUCAUGGAGGCCAUAUCAGGGAGAGAGAUAAAAAGAGAGAGAGAGAGAGCAAGCAACGAGUUUUUCUACAAAGAUUCAUAGCCGCGAUGUACUAGCGCAGAGAAAAUUAAAUUCCUGACCCCCCGCGGAACGAUCCUUUGGUGGUGGAUGUGAAAUUGCAAAUAAAUUACGUUCAAUCUUCAUCAUCGAGAGCGGAGUUGGAAUGAGGUAGGGAUAAUAAUCAGAAGGAAAGAGAGGAGAGAUGAAAUAUGAAUGAAGAAGAAGAAGGAAAAAAAAGAGCAGGAGACAAAAGAAGAAAAAAAAAAAGAAAAGGAACAAGAAAGAAAGGUCAGGAUAAUUCUUUUUGAAGGAUUUCAAUUUGGUAAGUUUCCUUUUAGCUUAAACCGAUUGCCUUUUCUCGAAUUAUGAGGAAGAUAAAAAAAAAAGAAGAAAAAAGGAUACUUUUCUCUCUCACAUAUAUUUCAAUGUGUCUUUAGACAUUUUCGUUCUUUCUUCGUCAUUUAAUUUUUUCUUUUUUUUUUUUUUUGAGACCUAGACGUAGGAGAGAAAAAACGCACGAGAGUUUUGUAAUCAUGAGCGACGUACAUUUUCUUUUUUCUCCAAUUAAAUUUAUUUUUUUUUAUUUCUCUUUCUUUUUCGAACCUAUUAAAGUUCUCACUUAGAAAAAAUUGAAACGAGAAUAAGAGUGUAUAAUAUAUAUUUAUCCGAAGGUUAUAUCUUUAAAAUGAUUAAAUUAGACAGAAACGAGUCGGAAUUUCUCAUCCUAGCAGUAUCUUUUAUUAUUCAUUUUUGUUUUAUGACCGGCCGCAAAAGGUCUUCUCGUUAAUAGUAAUGUGACUACAAACGAGAUUACGGAAAGUUAAUUAUAGUAUCGUAAAGGUAAACGUUCAAAUGUGGAAGUAAGUAAAAGUAAUAGUAAUAGUGUUAGUUACUAAUAAUGACUUUUUCCAAUUACUAUUCGUCUUCUUUGAAGGUAAAGGAAAAAGGACGAAAGAAAGAAAGAAAGAAAGAAAGAAAAAAAAAACAAACAGGAAAAAAAAGGGAACGAAGUAGAAAAGCAACGCGUUCGAGAAUACUUAUACACGGUGCAUCUUCAGGAGCUAGCUGAAAAGGAGAGAAAAGAGUAAAGGAAGGAAGAGUAGGAACAGGAUCGGAGGAUAGUCCCGUAUAAGAUGGCUUCAUCAAUCUUCGGCAAGGGGAUGACGGUAACACCCGAAGGAGGAAACGUUCUCGCGGUUCUUUAUCCACGAAACCUUCCCUAAGAGAAAUAGAUGAAUAGAGAAAGAGACAGAGCCAAGGAGAAAGAGAAACAGAGAGACAAAAGAAGAGACGAAAGAAAAAGAGAGGAAAGAUGGGAGAAAAAUUGGCUGCAGGGAUCAUCGAGAAGAAAGUAGAGGAAGACUGGACGAGAGAUAGCCGAUGUGACCUUAUUCCCUGUAGAAAUAUUGAAAAAGGAAAUGAGACUAUGUAUUGGAUACGGACACGCAUAUAUAUAUAUAUAUACUAAGAGAAAGAGACAGAGAGAGAAAGAAACAAAACAGAAAGAGAGAAAAAGAGAGAAAGAAAAAAAAUACAGAGAGAGAGAGAGAGAGAGAGAGAGAGAGAAAUAAACAAAAGAGAGAGAGAGAGAGAACAGUCUUCGUAAAGGAGAUAAAAGGAAAAUCUCAGGCCGUGAGAUCGGCUUGGAAAGACGUCGUAAGUAUGUACGACAAAACGGUUGCGACCUGAGGGACUGCACGAACCACCACCACCAUCACCACCAUCACCACCACCACCAUCACCACCAGCGCAACUUUGCAAUAAGUGUCGCGUUACGAGCCACGAAAAUGGACGAGGAUGCGAAGCGUUUCAAUCAAAAAUGGAUGGAAAUAAGAAAAGUAAAAGGAAAUAAUCCUUGGAAAAUGCAGUUUGAUGCAAUUAUUGAAAAAUGAGAGAGAAUAAUUAGAAGAAAAGGAAAUGUUUCUUUGAUAAUUAUCAUAAUUGAGAGAACAGAAAUAAGAAGGAAAGAGGAAGAAAAAAAAAGGUAAUAAUAAUAUAUUAAAUAUUAUCAAAAAUAUUGCGCAAUUAUGUAUAUAUAAACAUUUAAUUAAUAGAUCUGUAUAACAUAAGUGGGACACGUUAUUUUAACUCCAAUAUAACCGUUUCCACAUAGAUAUAUACGCAUAAAUACAUAUACUCAUAUAUCUACGUUUAUCGAUAUCCGAAACGAUACAUAUCAUACUAUACCAUUUCUCGAUAGGUGUCGGAACGAUCCGGAAAACGGCAAUAAGAUCGAUUUAUAUCUCGCGAGAUAUCCCGUGGGGGAGGUUCUCGCGCGAGAGUUCGAAUGAAAUUUUCAUCGACGUGCAUCUCGCUCCCUCUCUCUCUCUCUCUCUCGUACGAUAUCAAAACGUGAUCUAUUUAUCCGCGAAGGAUGUUGGAAAGAACCUUGCGAGGGUUGA
This is a long non-coding RNA of Vespula vulgaris, 4845 nucleotides long. RefSeq lists it as uncharacterized. NCBI's taxonomy places the organism in Eukaryota, Metazoa, Arthropoda, Insecta, Hymenoptera, Vespidae. The record is from RefSeq and is a predicted model, not a curated record. The transcript has 6 exons.